AUCCCCUGGUGAGGACACGCAAGAAUGUACUCCUGAAGUCUCUCCCAAGCUUCAGGAAUUGACUCAUUUGAUGCCUGCUGAAAACUCAAAAUUCUUCGACGAAGAGC
Molecule: small nucleolar RNA, 107 nt
Organism: Panicum virgatum (switchgrass)
Lineage: Eukaryota; Viridiplantae; Streptophyta; Magnoliopsida; Poales; Poaceae
Source: RefSeq, a predicted model, not a curated record